GACGAACGCUGGCGGCGUGCCUAAUACAUGCAAGUAGAACGCUGAAGAGAGGAGCUUGCUCUUCUUGGAUGAGUUGCGAACGGGUGAGUAACGCGUAGGUAACCUGCCUUGUAGCGGGGGAUAACUAUUGGAAACGAUAGCUAAUACCGCAUAACAAUGGGUGACACAUGUCAUUUAUUUGAAAGGGGCAACUGCUCCACUACAAGAUGGACCUGCGUUGUAUUAGCUAGUAGGUGAGGUAACGGCUCACCUAGGCGACGAUACAUAGCCGACCUGAGAGGGUGAUCGGCCACACUGGGACUGAGACACGGCCCAGACUCCUACGGGAGGCAGCAGUAGGGAAUCUUCGGCAAUGGGGGCAACCCUGACCGAGCAACGCCGCGUGAGUGAAGAAGGUUUUCGGAUCGUAAAGCUCUGUUGUAAGUCAAGAACGAGUGUGAGAGUGGAAAGUUCACACUGUGACGGUAGCUUACCAGAAAGGGACGGCUAACUACGUGCCAGCAGCCGCGGUAAUACGUAGGUCCCGAGCGUUGUCCGGAUUUAUUGGGCGUAAAGCGAGCGCAGGCGGUUUGAUAAGUCUGAAGUUAAAGGCUGUGGCUCAACCAUAGUUCGCUUUGGAAACUGUCAAACUUGAGUGCAGAAGGGGAGAGUGGAAUUCCAUGUGUAGCGGUGAAAUGCGUAGAUAUAUGGAGGAACACCGGUGGCGAAAGCGGCUCUCUGGUCUGUAACUGACGCUGAGGCUCGAAAGCGUGGGGAGCGAACAGG
Molecule: ribosomal RNA, 765 nt
Filed under: uncultured Streptococcus sp.
Lineage: Bacteria; Bacillati; Bacillota; Bacilli; Lactobacillales; Streptococcaceae
Description: bacterial SSU rRNA
Rfam family: Bacterial small subunit ribosomal RNA
Source: RNAcentral